This 253-nucleotide ribosomal RNA is filed under the name uncultured bacterium. RNAcentral describes it as "partial 16S ribosomal RNA". It matches the Rfam family "Bacterial small subunit ribosomal RNA", at positions 524 to 776 of the family's 1533-position model. The record is from RNAcentral.
UACGGAGGGGGCUAGCGUUGUUCGGAAUUACUGGGCGUAAAGCGCACGUAGGCGGCUUUGUAAGUUAGAGGUGAAAGCCCGGGGCUCAACUCCGGAAUUGCCUUUAAGACUGCAUCGCUAGAAUUGUGGAGAGGUAAGUGGAAUUCCGAAUGUAGAGGUGAAAUUCGUAGAUAUUCGGAAGAACACCAGUGGCGAAGGCGACUUACUGGACACAUAUUGACGCUGAGGUGCGAAAGCGUGGGGAGCAAACAGG